RNAcentral lists this ribosomal RNA (262 nucleotides) under uncultured bacterium. RNAcentral's name for it is "partial 16S ribosomal RNA". It matches the Rfam family "Bacterial small subunit ribosomal RNA", at positions 516 to 775 of the family's 1533-position model. The record is from RNAcentral.
CGCGGUAAUACGAAGGGUGCAAGCGUUACUCGGAAUUAUUGGGCGUAAAGCGCGCGUAGGCGGCCGUUUAAGUCUCACUGUGAAAUCGGGGGGCUCAACCCUCACGACUGCAGGGGAUACUGGGCGGCUGGAGAUAGGUAGAGGCGAGCGGAAUUCCGGGUGUAGCGGUGGAAUGCGUAGAGAUCCGGAAGAACACCAGAGGCGAAGGCGGCUCGCUGGACCUCAUCUGACGCUGAGGUGCGAAAGCGUGGGGAGCGAACAG